AGCGAACGCUGGCGGCAGGCUUAACACAUGCAAGUCGAGCGGGCGUAGCAAUACGUCAGCGGCAGACGGGUGAGUAACGCGUGGGAACGUACCUUUUGGUUCGGAACAACACAGGGAAACUUGUGCUAAUACCGGAUAAGCCCUUACGGGGAAAGAUUUAUCGCCGAAAGAUCGGCCCGCGUCUGAUUAGCUAGUUGGUGAGGUAACGGCUCACCAAGGCGACGAUCAGUAGCUGGUCUGAGAGGAUGAUCAGCCACAUUGGGACUGAGGCACGGCCCAAACUCCUACGGGAGGCAGCAGUGGGGAAUAUUGGACAAUGGGCGCAAGCCUGAUCCAGCCAUGCCGCGUGAGUGAUGAAGGCCCUAGGGUUGUAAAGCUCUUUUGUGCGGGAAGAUAAUGACGGUACCGCAAGAAUAAGCCCGGCUAACUUCGUGCCAGCAGCCGCGGUAAU
RNAcentral lists this ribosomal RNA (451 nucleotides) under uncultured bacterium. RNAcentral describes it as "bacterial SSU rRNA". It matches the Rfam family "Bacterial small subunit ribosomal RNA", at positions 29 to 524 of the family's 1533-position model. The record is from RNAcentral.